AUGCCGGCGAUGAUGGUCCCGAUGGAUGGCAGCAACGGCGAGCUAGAGAUGGAGACUUUGCUCAAGGUGCCGGCCUACAUCUUUGGGGUUAACAGGCCGAGCAUGGCGCGGAAGGUCGUGCUCACCAACGGUACACGGCAUAGCGGCAACCCUUAUCCACUCAUGGACCUAUCUGACUCCAUCUCUUCUUCCGCCAUGGAUCGGAGCUCGACCAUGCCCGCUGGUGCCUUCGCAGUUGUAGUAGAAACUAGAGAGAGGGAGCGAGGGGGUGCCUGUGUCGGACGAUGUCCUGACCAACGCGGGUUCCAUCAUCGUCGACGAGCUGACACGCAAGAGAGGGGGGCAGCUAAAGGGAAAAGGAAAGCAGAGUUACCUCGAAUGCCUUCAGCCCAAUACGCCCAUAGCCUGUGGGCCUUCGAGCGGCUAACAAGCUCAGGCCCAUAUUCUCGAAGCUACCUUCCUAGGGUUUCGCUUCUUGUAACCCCCCAGUGCGCCCCCCUUUCUCCCACUUCCCCCACUCCCCACCACAAGACCGCCGCCGCCGCAGGAGGAGGAGGAGAAGCAGCAGGCGCGAGAAGGAGAUCUCGCGAGGAGGCGACCGACCAUGAGGGCCAAGCGAGCCGGCAGAUCUCGCCGUCUCGCGCUCGUGCCCCCCGUUGCUGCUGCGGCUGCGAUGGGGCGAGCGACUCUAGCCGGUCCGGGAUGGAACGCGAGGUGCCGCCCGACGACGCCUGCGGCGGCGGCGAUGGCGAUGGCGGGGCAUGUUUUGUCUCGUGUGACCUUAGAUCGAUUGAUGUAUCGUAUGGGCUUAGGUAUCUCGUGUUCCGGUUCUCCCGUACCGUGCUCGUCGUGCUUGCGCGCCCGUGCGUGGGUCGUCUGUCUCAUUUGGGUUUCCCUGCCACGGUGAAGUGGAAGAAGAAGCGCAUGAGGAGGCUGAAGAGGAAGCGCCGAAAGAUGAGGCAGCGAUCCAAUUGUAUCAGGAGUUUUGCUAUCAUGACCAAUCUAUCGAACCGUAUGAACUCUGUUUUGGAGCUUUAUUUGCUGCUAAUACUCGGCCAUCAAGAUUUUGAUCCCGGAUGGCAGCCUGGUCUGAAUGUGUGGACAUGGAUACAUUCUGCUUUGGAUGCUAUAAGUCCUGCUUCUUGA
RNAcentral lists this ribosomal RNA (1146 nucleotides) under Triticum aestivum (bread wheat). Its description in RNAcentral is "partial small subunit ribosomal RNA". Lineage: Eukaryota; Viridiplantae; Streptophyta; Magnoliopsida; Poales; Poaceae. The record is from RNAcentral.